GAUGGAUUUUCCUGCUUCAUCUGAACAGGUUGUGACUGUGUUUUGUUGUUUUCUGCAGGGAAUCCCUCUGACAUGACUGUCAUCAUCGUCAUUGUUGCAGUGGUUGUUCUUGCUCUCGUCGCCAUCGCUGUCAUUGAAUACUUCAUUUACAAAAAGAACAAAGCCAAACGCCCUCCAUCUCCUGUAAGCAACCCUGAAGUCUUGGAGGAGCUGAAUCCAAAAGCGUAAAUGACAAACACGCCACCCUGAACACAGUUUAUGGAUAACUUUUACAUUGGAUCAAGAAACAUCCUCCUCUGUAAACUGGGAAUUCAUUGAUUAUUGAUCACCUUUUAUAAACUGAUAGAAUCAGGGUUGGGAUUGAGGAGUAAAUGCUUAUUGAAUGCCUUACAAUGAAAACCAAUUUUAAAAAUUAGUUAACAAAAAAAAAUCAAAUGUUAUCAAAUAUUAACAGUGACAUUAAAUUAUUUUGAAUAUUUAGUUUCAAUUGAAAAAGUGGAAUUUCCUCUCAUUGGUAAAUUAAAUAAGGAUCAUUUAUAUUUUUUUUUCUUGAAGAGAAGUAAAACAACAAUGAAAGCAUCACAGAACUCUUCAAUAUAUAUAUAUAUAUAUAUAUAUAUACAUUCAUUCAUUCAUAGGGUCUGGUAAUAUGAUGAUAAAUAACAGAUAUUUGUCAACCCGUAAAACGUUGUCUUUACUGUUUUAAUGAGAAAGUUGUUCUUUGUUUCUCUGGUUUUAUUCGAUCACUGGCAAAACUGCAAAUCAAUCAGCAAUAUCCAAAAACAUGCUGCGUAAACUGGACACCUUCUAACUGCGGUGAAAUAUAUUGGUUUAUGUUUAAUUCACUAAAUGGCUUCUAAAUUGAAUUUCACAAAAUGUACAGCAUCAGUAAUACAACUUGAAAUUACACAAUCAAACAAUGAUAUGUCGUAUCAGUGUUGCCCACCCUAACCUCACACAAACACACACACACACACACACACACUAUAAGCAUCAACACCAUUUGUUUUCCAGUUGUGUAAAUAGUUUGCUUGUAUAUUUCUUAAACACUGAUAAGAUUUAAAGAUUUUGUUUUGAUUCAAACCAGGCCAAAUAAAUAUUAACUUAUGAUUGUGAGGUUUUCCUUAAUUAAUCAGGUGUGUGUUGUUUUUGUAAAAUAUCUAUAUUUUGAUCUGUUUUGAAACAUUAUAUGGCUAUUAGCUGAGACUUUUAAAGGGUUGUUGAAUGUUUUAGCUUCUUCUGUUGGUUUAAGUAGUUAAAUGUCAAAUGAAGUUUCUCUAUUUCAUUCCUUUUGUACUGUUAUUCUUUUAAAUAAAGUCCCAAAAAGUCCAUA
Molecule: long non-coding RNA, 1333 nt
Organism: Micropterus dolomieu (smallmouth bass)
Lineage: Eukaryota; Metazoa; Chordata; Actinopteri; Centrarchiformes; Centrarchidae
Exons: 4
Source: RefSeq, a predicted model, not a curated record